Molecule: non-coding RNA, 81 nt
Organism: Pelobates cultripes (western spadefoot toad)
Lineage: Eukaryota; Metazoa; Chordata; Amphibia; Anura; Pelobatidae
Source: the annotation of a GenBank genome assembly
GACAUGGAGACACUGGGAGACUUGGGUACACUGAGACACUAGGGACACAGUGUCCCCAGGUGUCUCAGUGUCCCCAUGUCU